CUGAGGCGUGAUGACGAGGCACUACGGUGCUGAAGCAACAAAUGCCCUGCUUCCAGGAAAAGCCUCUAAGCAUCAGGUAACAUCAAAUCGUACCCCAAACCGACACAGGUGGUCAGGUAGAGAAUACCAAGGCGCUUGAGAGAACUCGGGUGAAGGAACUAGGCAAAAUGGUGCCGUAACUUCGGGAGAAGGCACGCUGACAUGUAGGUGAAGUGAUUUACUCAUGGAGCUGAAGUCAGUCGAAGAUACCAGCUGGCUGCAACUGUUUAUUAAAAACACAGCACUGUGCAAACACGAAAGUGGACGUAUACGGUGUGACGCCUGCCCGGUGCCGGAAGGUUAAUUGAUGGGGUCAGCGCAAGCGAAGCUCCUGAUCGAAGCCCCGGUAAACGGCGGCCGUAACUAUAACGGUCCUAAGGUAGCGAAAUUCCUUGUCGGGUAAGUUCCGACCUGCACGAAUGGCGUAAUGAUGGCCAGGCUGUCUCCACCCGAGACUCAGUGAAAUUGAACUCGCUGUGAAGAUGCAGUGUACCCGCGGCAAGACGGAAAGACCCCGUGAACCUUUACUAUAGCUUGACACUGAACAUUGAGCCUUGAUGUGUAGGAUAGGUGGGAGGCUUUGAAGUGUGGACGCCAGUCUGCAUGGAGCCGACCUUGAAAUACCACCCUUUAAUGUUUGAUGUUCUAACGUGGACCCGUGAUCCGGGUUGCGGACAGUGUCUGGUGGGUAGUUUGACUGGGGCGGUCUCCUCCUAAAGAGUAACGGAGGAGCACGAAGGUUGGCUAAUCCUGGUCGGACAUCAGGAGGUUAGUGCAAUGGCAUAAGCCAGCUUGACUGCGAGCGUGACGGCGCGAGCAGGUGCGAAAGCAGGUCAUAGUGAUCCGGUGGUUCUGAAUGGAAGGGCCAUCGCUCAACGGAUAAAAGGUACUCCGGGGAUAACAGGCUGAUACCGCCCAAGAGUUCAUAUCGACGGCGGUGUUUGGCACCUCGAUGUCGGCUCAUCACAUCCUGGGGCUGAAGUAGGUCCCAAGGGUAUGGCUGUUCGCCAUUUAAAGUGGUACGCGAGCUGGGUUUAGAACGUCGUGAGACAGUUCGGUCCCUAUCUGCCGUGGGCGCUGGAGAACUGAGGGGGGCUGCUCCUAGUACGAGAGGACCGGAGUGGACGCAUCACUGGUGUUCGGGUUGUCAUGCCAAUGGCACUGCCCGGUAGCUAAAUGCGGAAGAGAUAAGUGCUGAAAGCAUCUAAGCACGAAACUUGCCCCGAGAUGAGUUCUCCCUGAGACUUUAAGUCUCCUGAAGGAACGUUGAAGACGACGACGUUGAUAGGCCGGGUGUGUAAGCGCAGCGAUGCGUUGAGCUAACCGGUACUAAUGAACCGUGAGGCUUAACCUUACAACGCCGAAG
Molecule: ribosomal RNA, 1405 nt
Filed under: Salmonella enterica subsp. enterica serovar Cerro str. 5569
Lineage: Bacteria; Pseudomonadati; Pseudomonadota; Gammaproteobacteria; Enterobacterales; Enterobacteriaceae
Description: bacterial LSU rRNA
Rfam family: Bacterial large subunit ribosomal RNA
Source: RNAcentral